GACGAACCGUGCGAACGUUGUUCGGAAUCAUUGGGCUUAAAGGGCGCGUAGGCGGUCCCGCAAGUCAAGGGUGAAAUCCCACGGCUCAACCGUGGAAGUGCCUUUGAUACUGCGGGUCUAGAGGGAGGUAGGGGCGUGCGGAACUUCCGGUGGAGCGGUGAAAUGCGUAGAUAUCGGAAGGAACACCGGUGGCGAAAGCGGCGCGCUGGACCUCUACUGACGCUGAGGCGCGAAAGCCAGGGGAGCAAACGGG
Molecule: ribosomal RNA, 253 nt
Filed under: uncultured bacterium
Lineage: Bacteria
Description: partial 16S ribosomal RNA
Rfam family: Bacterial small subunit ribosomal RNA
Source: RNAcentral